CGAUCUGGCAGCACUGCGGGCAGCCAGUCAUCAUAAAUACGAACAGAUUGGAAAAGUUACAAGAAUUGCGUAUUAUCUGUGGCAUUACGAGAUUGAACUUUCUAAAAGCCAACUAGCCGUAACUUAAAUAGCUGCAAACAUGUCCUACGCGUACUUGUUCAAAUACAUCAUUAUCGGCGACACAGGCGUGGGCAAGUCCUGCCUGCUGCUCCAGUUCACCGACAAGCGAUUCCAGCCUGUGCACGACCUGACCAUCGGCGUGGAGUUCGGAGCACGCAUGAUCACCAUCGACGGCAAGCAGAUCAAGCUGCAGAUCUGGGACACAGCUGGCCAGGAGGCCUUCAGAUCCAUCACACGCUCUUACUACCGUGGAGCCGCCGGCGCCCUGCUGGUGUACGACAUCACGCGGCGGGAGACCUUCAACCACCUGACCACCUGGCUCGAGGAUGCGCGCCAGCACUCCAACUCGAACAUGGUGAUCAUGCUGAUCGGCAACAAGAGCGACUUGGACUCGCGGCGCGAGGUGAAGAAGGAGGAGGGCGAGGCCUUUGCCCGCGAGCACGGGCUGGUCUUCAUGGAGACGUCGGCGCGCACGGCGGCCAAUGUGGAGGAGGCGUUCAUAAACACGGCCAAGGAGAUCUACGAGAAGAUCCAGGAGGGUGUCUUCGACAUCAACAAUGAGGCAAACGGCAUCAAGAUCGGCCAACAGCACUCGCCCACAAACCCGUCGCUGCCAGGAGCCGGAGGAGCAGCUGGAGCAGCAAACAGUGGCUGCUGCUAGGAGUAAACUGCAGAUGCCCGAUUGCAAUUCUGGGAUAGACGUAGCCGCUUCUGUAAAAGCUACUUUAGUGACUAACUAAUAGAAGUGAGGUCCAGCCCUGCAAACGCUGCGCCACGCCCCUUUUUGCAAUGGGUAUCUGCUCCUCUUCUAUAACAUAAAUACAUAAUAACAUAUAUGAAUACUUUUACUUUUUCUUCUCAACGCAUUUGCUUUGUCUAUAUUUUGUUGUGCAAUCCGCUUUAGUCUUUAUAAACACCCUACACUAGAAAAAAAGAAAACGUACUUUAACAAAAUAUACAAAACAAGAUGUGAGCUGAAAUGGGAUUAUAUAAUUUACACACUCAACAUGCAUUAACAGUGGAUUCACGAAAAUGCUGCGAUUCAAUGAUCAAUUUAGUAUUUUACGAAGUUUAUAUAUUUAAAUUAAAUUAAAGGCGAAAGCUAAGACAAAACGAAAGAUACAACUGUAAACGUAAAUCAAAUUAUUUAUAAUAUUUGUAUUUGCCCAACACAAUGCAGAAUAAUAAAUAUACAUACAUACUAAA
Molecule: non-coding RNA, 1326 nt
Organism: Drosophila takahashii
Lineage: Eukaryota; Metazoa; Arthropoda; Insecta; Diptera; Drosophilidae
Source: RefSeq, a predicted model, not a curated record